GACUGCCCUGUAGCUGCUGGU
RNAcentral lists this unclassified non-coding RNA (21 nucleotides) under Mus musculus (house mouse). Its description in RNAcentral is "oocyte_clustered_small_RNA7088". The record is from RNAcentral. Lineage: Eukaryota; Metazoa; Chordata; Mammalia; Rodentia; Muridae.